RNAcentral lists this ribosomal RNA (468 nucleotides) under uncultured bacterium. RNAcentral describes it as "partial 16S ribosomal RNA". It matches the Rfam family "Bacterial small subunit ribosomal RNA", at positions 28 to 507 of the family's 1533-position model. The record is from RNAcentral.
GACGAACGCUGGCGGCGUGCUUAACACAUGCAAGUCGAACGGAAAGGCCCUGCUUUUGUGUGGUGCUCGAGUGGCGAGCGGGAGAGUAACAUGUGAGUAACCUGCCCUUGACUUUGGGAUAACUUAAGGAAACUGGGGCUAAUACCGGAUAGGAGCUCCUGCUGCAUGGUGAGGGUUGGAAAGUGUCGGCGGUUGGGGAUGUACGCGGGGUUGGUCAGCUUGUUGGUGGGGUAGUGGCUUACCAAGGCUUUGACGGGUAGCCGGCCCGGGAGGGUGGCCAGCCACAUUAGGCCUGAGGUAGGGCCCAGACUGGUACAUGAGGCAGCAGGGGGGAAUAUUUCACAAUGGGCGGAAGCGUGAGGCAGCGACGCCGCGUGCGUGAUGACGGCCUUCGGGUGGUAAACCGCUUUCGCUUGUGACGAAGCGUGUGUGACGGUAAUGGGUAAAGAAGCACCGGCUAACUACGUG